This is a long non-coding RNA of Oryzias melastigma (Indian medaka), 3300 nucleotides long. RefSeq lists it as uncharacterized. The record is from RefSeq and is a predicted model, not a curated record. The transcript is spliced from 4 exons. Lineage: Eukaryota; Metazoa; Chordata; Actinopteri; Beloniformes; Adrianichthyidae.
UGGUGAGCAGGUGUUUGUAAUUAUCCAUCAUCUCUGAGGCCUUUCGUUCCUGUGUUGUGAGGGGAAAAACUGAAAAAAUGUCUACUAAAUUUGCAAUAAAUUAAAGAACUGACAGAAAAAAUAUAUGAAAAUACAUAUUUCCUGUUUUGAUCUUUAGUUCUUGCAUAUCGAGUAUUAGAAAGAAGUUGGACUCACACAGGCAGGAUGAAGCCGGCGUGGCAGCUGUAAUGGAGCGCCGUCCCUUCCACCGGAGGCCCCGGGGGGUUCGCCGUCACCCUGCCAUUCUCCAGAGAGGUCCACACCCGCGGGCAUAGCAGCACUGGAAGCCAGAAACACCAAGACUCUGUAGAGUCUCCAGGAGACCUGUUGGUGUUCAGCCUCUGGGAUUGGACGGACUGCAAACCUCAAAGAAAGGCAGCAUCUUAAAAGCUGCUGCUUUCAACAGCUUUCUGCUGGCUUUAAAGGUGCAGCUCUUCUCCACUGUGGACAGAUGAAUGGAGUUUGUUGGCCUCCAGCUCGAAGAGAGUUACGCUGCCCACGUCGCUGAGGUCUCCGAGGUCACCCAGGUGCUCCACAGAGUCGUAUUUCUCCAGGUCAGAGGCGAUGGUCUGCAGGCUGAAGACGGACAUGGAGUCCGACCCGGCUCGCUCCCGCUCCGGCCCAGUUUUCUCCUUGUAUUGAUCCGCCGCAUCAACGGCUGUGUUCAGUUUGUCUUUGCCUAAAGAGUUGUCACUGCUGCAGGCUCCGCCCUCCUCCUGCAUUCUGGUGUCUGCCUCAGCCCCCACAGGGGGGCUCCGCCCAACGCAGAGGGAAGGGAGCUCUCCCUCAGCCGGGUCUGUUCCCCUCUGAGCGUGGAUUUGUUCACUGAUCUGCUCCAGGUUUCGCAGGGCGAUCGAGUAGUGGUUCUUCACUUUGGCGACUUGCUGUUCCAGCUGCAGCACUUUGGUUUUGUGCUCCUGCAGACACAAAAGCAGCCAGCGAGCGGUGUCAAUGGCUGGGAAAAGCUGUUCACAUCGUGCAUCUGUGUGUGCUUUACCUCCAGAAUGUGGUUGAACUGGGCCUUGAGCUCAAAGUAAGGUUUGGACUUCACGAUGAGUCUCUUCAGGGACUUCUGCAGCAUCUGGACUCUAGCCUCGGCUUCCUGACAGGCGUGUGUGACGCGCAUGUGCUCUCGCUCGCUGCGCACACGCUCCUCCUCAGCCUCGUUCACCUGCGGGACACGGGGAAUGAAAGACGAGGUUUAUUCUGUUUCAAGAUAAGGACUUUCUAAGUGCAGAUAUGCUCCCAGACCAUCAGGACUCUCCUAAACAAGCCAACAACAGGAUAAAAGUGGGUUUAGAAAAAAUUCAAUACUCAGCAAACUGUUCUGACACACUGAUAGAACCCAGACUAAGUAAACUACACCAAACAGAUACUGAUAUGACAGAACUGCAGUAGAAAUCCCAAUCAAAUAGUCUAAACUUUUUGAUUUUAAACAUUUCAAUUGUUUUCAACCUGUCUGAGACAACACUCCUAAACUGAUAUAAAUGACUUUGUUCUGUUGCUAAAAAUAUUAAGUCCUUCCAGCUUUCAUACAAUGUUAAUCCACCUGGAAAAAUUAAUCCUAAAAUCUCUAUAACCAUGUAACAACACCCCCAGUGUUACCAUAGUAACAACAUGAAUUCAUAAAAAGAUCCAGAUUAUCAACAGAGAUGCUAGCAGGUUACCUUCAUCUGUUGUACUGCAUCUAAACCAGACGGCCAACAUACCACACUCUCGCAUCUUCUGACUACCUGAUCACACCUAAUCCAGGUAAUAAGAAGUGGGUGGAGCAAGGAAAUGAGGAAAGCAUAUCCUUUGAUCUUUGUUGUUUGGUGUUUCCCACCACUCCUGUGUUUUUCAGAUCAAUCUAAUUGCACUUCAUAUGUAUAAAACUAUGAAACCGGUAAUAGUUUUAUUUCCAGAUGAAGCCCCUUCUCUUCCUUUCUGCAGGACUCAAACAACUGAAAGUUCAAAGGCUGGCUUUCUCUUACAAAAGUUAAAAAAAAUCCAGUCAGUUUGGGAAAUUUGUUUGAGGCACAAACCAGAUGCAGAGAGAGUAAAACACCCAAAAGGGAUGUUUUUCUUGCAAAAAAUAUAAAUGUAUUUAUGUAUCACACCAAGAAAGAUCACCAGCUAAAACUGAUUUUGUGCCAAUAUUAUUGCGCAAAUUUUGAAAAGUUCAUUUUUUUUCUUUACUCACAGUUUCCUUUAAGACCUACUCUAAUAAAAAUAUUAUUUUGGGUGUUUUUAUAAUAUUCUUUUAGCUUUUAUCUCCAACAGAGAACAUGUAUAAAGAAAGUUGAGCUUAAAAUUGCGUUUCUAUUUCUUUAUUCAAAUUGUGGUGAAUCAGGAGACAAAAAAAUGUAAUUUGAAAAGGCUUGUAGCUUUGACGUAAUAACUUCAAUCAGGAGACCACGCUCUUUGCUUCGCUCCAUUCUGAUACACUUGAAGAUUACUAGAUUUUUGUCUUGGUUUCCCUCGUCCGAGCUGGCAUCUGGCUCAAAACUGUAUGGCUGAACAGCUCCACUGUUGUUCGCCACUUUUGUUGCACCACUUUGUGGUUGUAAUCUAGUGGGAGAGAUUGUAAAUAAAGGGAUGAUGGGAACUAAAUGCAGGCCUACUCCCCAGUAACAGUUCCAACCGCAACUCAGAGGCAAAUUACUGAUAACCCCUGCAGAAACUGUCCAAGAAAAUGACACAGGUUUAAUUAUUUUGCUUUAAACAUCAUAAUAAUGAUUAAAAAACCAUAAAGAAUGCUUUGAAAAAAGAUCAAUAGAUGAUUGAAGUGGGACUUUAGAAAGCCUGUAGCUUUCACUGCUGUGUCUCCUAUCUCCCUACAGCAAGCAUGUCCAAAGUCCGGCCCGUGGGUCAAAGGCGGUCCGCAAUCAAAUUCCAACGGCCUACAGGCUUGUUUCAUAAAAUCAAUUAUGCAGCCCCCAGCAUUUUCCAAAAACUGUGCAUGGGAUUUCUUCAUUGGGAUUGGCUAAAUAACGAUUUACGAACGAUGUAUGCUAUCUAUGACAAGCUAACUGGGAAUGAAUGGCGAGGAAAAUUCAUUGUAAAAACAUGUUAAGAUUUAUUUGUUUUCUAUGUGAAGAAAUGAAAAGUAUGCUGUUGCAAUUACAUUUCUAUUAAAAUGCUUAUUUCCAUUUAAUAUUAUUUAAGUAGCUCAAAGAAUGUCAGGAAUGAAUGGUUGUCCGUCACAUUUUUUUACCUCACCCAUUUCUCAUUAGAACACCCCUGGCCAACAGCAUGUUUAAUAAAACUGCAGCUCAUUCA